GCCAGGCAUGGUGGUGUGUGCCUGUAGUCCCAGCUACUUGGGAGGCAGAGGCAGGAGAAUCGCUUGAACCCAGGAGGUGGAGGUUGCAGUGAGCCAAAAUCAUGCCACUAUCCUCCAGCCUGGGUGACAGGGUGAGACUCUGUCUCAA
This is a non-coding RNA of Pan troglodytes (chimpanzee), 148 nucleotides long. It matches the Rfam family "Metazoan signal recognition particle RNA". Rfam says of the family: The signal recognition particle (SRP) is a universally conserved ribonucleoprotein. It is involved in the co-translational targeting of proteins to membranes. NCBI's taxonomy places the organism in Eukaryota, Metazoa, Chordata, Mammalia, Primates, Hominidae. The record is from Rfam.